UACUCCCAAUUGGGAGCUUGCUGGACAUGCUGCUUCUGGUGUCCUGCUUUUUGCAUUACCUUAUGGUGUCCUAACAAAGAUCAUUUGGAUAUGAUCAAAACGUUGACUUGAUUAUGCACAAAUAAAUGACCUUUUGAUGAUUUUACAAAAAUGACUCAGAGCGAGAAGGUGUCGCGUCAGCAUAUGAGGUUACAGAAGAAGAUGCAUAGCAGGACCACCACUUGCAAACAAAGGCCAUGGUCUGAGCCUUUCCUUGCUACUGCGUGGGGUGUAUGGCAUGUUUGCAAUUUUAUGUAUUUGACAGUAAACAUUCCCUAUAUUAUUA
This is a long non-coding RNA of Pseudophryne corroboree (corroboree frog), 325 nucleotides long. RefSeq lists it as uncharacterized. The record is from RefSeq and is a predicted model, not a curated record. The transcript is spliced from 2 exons. Lineage: Eukaryota; Metazoa; Chordata; Amphibia; Anura; Myobatrachidae.